Molecule: long non-coding RNA, 315 nt
Filed under: Physcomitrium patens
Lineage: Eukaryota; Viridiplantae; Streptophyta; Bryopsida; Funariales; Funariaceae
Description: long non-coding RNA (PPAT_LNC007492)
Source: RNAcentral
UUGUAACUAAGAGAUUGAAAGGUGUGUAAAAUUUUAAAUAAGAUCAAUGGUUUAGCCAAAAGAUAUUGAGAUUCCAAACUACCUUAUGGUUUAAUUUAGGGUUUAGGAUUUGAUUAGGAUUUGAUUUAGGAUUUAAAAUUUUUCUAGGAUUUGAUUCAAGAUUUCGGAUUUUAUUAGGAUUUGGUUUAGGAUUUAAAAUUUCACUAGGAUUUGCACAAUCACAAACCAAAUAUAUUAUAUCUUUAAUAUAUUAUAUCUUAAAUGGUUGGAAUAAGUUAUAUCUUAAAUAUAUUAUAUCUUAAAUGGUUGGAAUAA